AGAGUUUGAUCCUGGCUCAGGACGAACGCUGGCGGCGUGCCUAAUACAUGCAAGUCGAGCGGAAUGAUGAAGAAGCUUGCUUCUUCUGAUUUUAACGGCGGACGGGUGAGUAACACGUGGGCAACCUACCUUGUAGAUUGGGAUAACUCCGGGAAACCGGGGCUAAUACCGAAUAAACCAUUUUGCUUCAUGGCAAGAUGUUGAAAGGCGGCUUCGGCUGUCACUACUAGAUGGGCCCGCGGCGUAUUAGCUAGUUGGUAGGGUAAUGGCCUACCAAGGCGACGAUACGUAGCCGACCUGAGAGGGUGAUCGGCCACACUGGGACUGAGACACGGCCCAGACUCCUACGGGAGGCAGCAGUAGGGAAUCUUCCACAAUGGACGAAAGUCUGAUGGAGCAACGCCGCGUGAGUGAAGAAGGUUUUCGGAUCGUAAAACUCUGUUGUAAGGGAAGAACACGUACGAGAGUAACUGCUCGUACCUUGACGGUACCUUAUUAGAAAGCCACGGCUAACUACGUGCCAGCAGCCGCGGUAAUACGUAGGUGGCAAGCGUUGUCCGGAAUUAUUGGGCGUAAA
This 577-nucleotide ribosomal RNA is filed under the name uncultured Bacillota bacterium. Its description in RNAcentral is "bacterial SSU rRNA". It matches the Rfam family "Bacterial small subunit ribosomal RNA", at positions 8 to 564 of the family's 1533-position model. The record is from RNAcentral. Lineage: Bacteria; Bacillati; Bacillota.